GAACGCUGGCGGCGUGCCUAAUACAUGCAAGUCGAGCGAACAGAUAAGGAGCUUGCUCCUUUGACGUUAGCGGCGGACGGGUGAGUAACACGUGGAUAACCUACCUAUAAGACUGGGAUAACUUCGGGAAACCGGAGCUAAUACCGGAUAACAUAUUGAACCGCAUGGUUCAAUAGUGAAAGGCGGCUUUGCUGUCACUUAUAGAUGGAUCCGCGCCGUAUUAGCUAGUUGGUAAGGUAACGGCUUACCAAGGCAACGAUACGUAGCCGACCUGAGAGGGUGAUCGGCCACACUGGAACUGAGACACGGUCCAGACUCCUACGGGAGGCAGCAGUAGGGAAUCUUCCGCAAUGGGCGAAAGCCUGACGGAGCAACGCCGCGUGAGUGAUGAAGGUCUUCGGAUCGUAAAACUCUGUUAUCAGGGAAGAACAAAUGUGUAAGUAACUGUGCACAUCUUGACGGUACCUGAUCAGAAAGCCACGGCUAACUACGUGCCAGCAGCCGCGGUAAUACGUAGGUGGCAAGCGUUAUCCGGAAUUAUUGGGCGUAAAGCGCGCGUAGGCGGUUUUUUAAGUCUGAUGUGAAAGCCCACGGCUCAACCGUGGAGGGUCAUUGGAAACUGAAAAACUUGAGUGCAGAAGAGGAAAGUGGAAUUCCAUGUGUAGCGGUGAAAUGCGCAGAGAUAUGGAGGAACACCAGUGGCGAAGGCGACUUUCUGGUCUGUAACUGACGCUGAUGUGCGAAAGCGUGGGGAUCAAACAGGAUUAGAUACCCUGGUAGUCCACGCCGUAAACGAUGAGUGCUAAGUGUUAGGGGGUUUCCGCCCCUUAGUGCUGCAGCUAACG
This 845-nucleotide ribosomal RNA is filed under the name Staphylococcus sp. M_Sw_oHS_08/10_11_2(2). RNAcentral describes it as "bacterial SSU rRNA". It matches the Rfam family "Bacterial small subunit ribosomal RNA", at positions 31 to 857 of the family's 1533-position model. The record is from RNAcentral. Lineage: Bacteria; Bacillati; Bacillota; Bacilli; Caryophanales; Staphylococcaceae.